Long non-coding RNA from Beta vulgaris subsp. vulgaris (sugar beet), 573 nucleotides. RefSeq lists it as uncharacterized. The transcript has 2 exons. Lineage: Eukaryota; Viridiplantae; Streptophyta; Magnoliopsida; Caryophyllales; Amaranthaceae. The record is from RefSeq and is a predicted model, not a curated record.
UUCAUUAUAUCAUUAAAGUAAUUUAGUAUUUUCGCGGAGCACACCAUCUUCAUCCCCUUCGGCCCUUCCCUUAUAUAAUAGAUAAUGUAUAUUGUAUACAUCUAUACUUAAUUUCAAACAACUGAUAAACAAGACCAAGAAAAAUGGAGAAGAAAUUCUUUUGGCUUUCGGUUUUGCUUCUCUGCUUACUCGCUUCUGAGAUGAACAUGGUGGUCGAAGUUGAUGGUGCGACUUGCGCAAAACCAAGUAAGUACUACAAAGGCGGUUGCUUUGCUACCAUAUCAGUUUCAGCUUGUAAGAAGACUUGUAGCCGAGAGAAUUGGCCUGAUGGUGCUUGUGUAUACCCAUUUAGAUGUGAAUGUCGAAGGCCUUGUUGAGAUAUGUGUGCUCCUCUAUCUAUGAACUAUGUGAAGUGUGUAUUAUAUAAGUCUCUUUUGAGUUGUACUAUAAUUUCCAGUUAGUUGUUAAGUAAAGAUUUCCAUAUAAAUCUGAGUACUUUUUUUUAGUAAGAUCCUUUGUUUUGUUGAUCUCCUCCAUUGUUGAAUAUUCAUCAAUAAUUUUUAUUUUAAUUUA